RNAcentral lists this ribosomal RNA (466 nucleotides) under uncultured bacterium. Its description in RNAcentral is "bacterial SSU rRNA". It matches the Rfam family "Bacterial small subunit ribosomal RNA", at positions 330 to 792 of the family's 1533-position model. The record is from RNAcentral.
UCCAGACUCCUACGGGAGGCAGCAGUGAGGAAUAUUGGUCAAUGGGCGCGAGCCUGAACCAGCCAAGUCGCGUGAGGGAUGACGGCCCUACGGGUUGUAAACCUCUUUUGUCGGGGAGCAAAUUCCGUUACGUGUAACGGAGUCGAGAGUACCCGAAGAAAAAGCAUCGGCUAACUCCGUGCCAGCAGCCGCGGUAAUACGGAGGGUGCGAGCGUUAAUCGGAAUUACUGGGCGUAAAGCGCUCGUAGGCGGUAUGUCAAGUCAAGGGUGAAAUCCCCGCGCUCAACGUGGGAACUGCCUUUGAAACUGGCAAACUGGAGUGUGUGAGAGGAUAGUGGAAUUCCAGGUGUAGGAGUGAAAUCCGUAGAUAUCUGGAGGAACAUCAGUGGCGAAGGCGACUAUCUGGCACAUAACUGACGCUGAGGAGCGAAAGCGUGAGUAGCAAACAGGAUUAGAUACCCUAGUA